CGAAAAAAAAAACGGUCAGAUAGGAAAUAGAUACGCCCUAUGGGGGUUGGAUAAGUCCGCUAAUGUGAAUACAAUAGAGCCACUUGAAACGACCGGAGAUCGUUUACUCACGCCACCAGAGCACCCUCCUCUUCAUACUCCUCAUCCGCUCCUGGAAGCAACCAAUCAGUUCGGAUACGGAACAACCCCUUCCCGGAGACCGCAAAAAAAGGUCGUCUGACUUUCAAUUAAUCAAAUUAUCGCGCGCCCCGAGGGUUGGUGGAAAAUUCAGGCGGUUGGGGGCGACGAGGUCCUGGCACUCGAAAGUCGCCGCAGAUGGGAGGACAAACAUUUGUCCACUUUUUGCAAUUUGUACAGGUCAACUGUAGGUUUUGGCCCGAUUGUUUGCGUUUUGCCGCGUGUUUUGUGCAACAUCAAUAAAUUGUCAAAAUCUGUCAAAAUUUUUAAUGACUGUGUGACGGCUAAUAACCGAAAAUCGAUUUGUUCAAGGCGGUCUAUUGAUUGCAAUUUGAAAUUGAGUUUGUUUCAUUUCGGGGCACUAUUUUUUUUUUCGAAUACUGCGGACGUUUUUAUGGAUUGCUGUUCCUGGACAAACAAUUGUAUCUGUGCGUUUAAUGUUCAGGGAUCAUUUUAGAGUUUUUAACGUCAGGCGGUUAUUUUUCAUCCAUCCAAAAUUUUAAAGAAAUCCGAACAUGUGGGCGAUGGUGUUCCUCCAUGCCUUGCCCUUUUGUUGUCUCGUUUUCACUUUGCCGAAACCGCAAGCCGGGAAACUUUCGCACCUGUGUCGAAUGACCAAAAACCAGAGGAGAGCAGCCUGCAACUUCCUCGUCGCAGGACGAUGUGAAAAAGCCGAUGUCUAACCCUUUUUUUGCGGCUUAAUUGCGAUGCCAGAUCAUAGCCAUCGGUCCGUUGGUGAAACAAAGUAACCGACAGGAGUCCUGCAAUCCGGAUCCUGUGAAUUCGAGCCGAGUCAAUGUUCAUUAGGGGACACUUUGCGACCUUAACCCUUCUAUUCGAGCUACGAGCUACAUGUUCCUCUGUCCAUAUGCAAAAUAAUGCCGCAUCAUUAGUGCGUUGGCCGACAAUGGGAAAGGGUUGCAAGUGGGGCACGUGUCGAGCACAGGCUGCAUGUCCUCCGGAUUCCGAACUUUUUUUGCGCCUCAGUAAAACCCAGAAAUCGUGUUUUUCACCGUAUUUGCAUAUG
Drosophila simulans is the source of this 1204-nucleotide long non-coding RNA. RefSeq lists it as uncharacterized. NCBI's taxonomy places the organism in Eukaryota, Metazoa, Arthropoda, Insecta, Diptera, Drosophilidae. The transcript has 3 exons. The record is from RefSeq and is a predicted model, not a curated record.